RNAcentral lists this ribosomal RNA (253 nucleotides) under uncultured bacterium. RNAcentral's name for it is "partial 16S ribosomal RNA". It matches the Rfam family "Bacterial small subunit ribosomal RNA", at positions 524 to 776 of the family's 1533-position model. The record is from RNAcentral.
UACGUAGGGGGCAAGCGUUAUUCGGAUUUACUGGGUGUAAAGGGAGCGUAGACGGCAGGGCAAGUCUGGAGUGAAAGGCAGGGGCCCAACCCCUGGACUGCUCUGGAAACUGUCCGGCUGGAGUGCAGGAGAGGUAAGUGGAAUUCCUAGUGUAGCGGUGAAAUGCGUAGAUAUUAGGAGGAACACCAGUGGCGAAGGCGGCUUACUGGACUGUAACUGACGUUGAGGCUCGAAAGCGUGGGGAGCAAACAGG